Molecule: ribosomal RNA, 344 nt
Filed under: Ixodes sp. 10AN84689
Lineage: Eukaryota; Metazoa; Arthropoda; Arachnida; Ixodida; Ixodidae
Description: partial large subunit ribosomal RNA
Rfam family: Bacterial large subunit ribosomal RNA (bases 66-344)
Source: RNAcentral
AAAGACUUUCUUUAAUUAAAUAAUUAAAUUUAAUUUUUUUGUGCAAAAGCAAAAAUAAUAAUUAGGGACAAGAAGACCCUAUGAAUUUUUAUUUAAUAUUGAAAUAUUAUUUACAUUUUCAAAUUAAAUUUGGUUGGGGUGAUGGAAAAAGAUUAAGUAUCUUUUUUUUAAUAAAAAAUUGGUUCCGUUUGUAACGAUUAAAUGAAAAAAAUACUCUAGGGAUAACAGCGUAAUAAUUUUGGAUAGUUCAUAUAGAUAAAAUAGUUUGCGACCUCGAUGUUGGAUUAGGAUUCUUUUUCGGUGAAGAAGUUGAGAAAAAGAAGUUUGUUCAACUUUUAAAUUCC